GUUCCAGAGGAGGGGAAGCCUAACCUCAAAAUCUCCUCCCAGAGCCUCAGAGUAGAGUUGAAUGAUUUACACGAAGAAGCAGAUUAUGUAUUGCUGAAAAGUCCGUGUUUCUCUCAUUUGAAACAGUGAAUAAGGAGGGAGUCAUAGCAAUAACAGGACAAAGAAGAGAAGCUGAUCAUGGAUUAUCUGACCAUUGAAGUUGAGGAAGAAGCCAUGACUCCUGCUGAUGCUUCUCUGCCCCAAAAGCAGAGCACAGAAGAAAUGGAAUCUACUGUUGAGCUCCUUCCUGUGGAGUUCCAGAUGAAGAAACUGAGGCUACAGUAACAUGCUCAGAAUCAUAAAUGGUUGAGCCCUGAUCAGAACCCAGGAACUGGUGACAGUGAAGGAUGAGGAAAUGGAUUUUGCCCAUGUGGAGGUGGACCAGCUGAAUUCUGCCCAGAGGAACAUGGGCCUGGAUCUGAAGGUGGAGAGUUGUGGAAGCCUGGUAUUUUGGGAUUCUGAAUCUAUACCUGAAACUAAAGUGUCCCUUUCAAAGCAGGAAGUUUAUGAAGUAUCAUCUGAAAGGGAGCUGGUAAUAGAAAGACUUAAAAAGGAUGAUUCCUGGGAUCCCAGAUUGAUAGAAGCCUGGGAAUGUGAAGGCACAUUGGAAAGGCAGAAAAGAAAAUCAGAAGAAAGAUUUAAGGCAAGUCAUAAUUAAACACAAGAAAACCCCUAUGGAAGAUUGUAGUGAUAUGGGGGAAAAGUCAAGCCCAAUUAAACAUCAGAAGGUUUACUCGGUAAAAAAGCCUUGGAAGUGCAAUGAGUGUGGGAAGUCCUUCGGUUACUACUCAGCCUU
This 835-nucleotide long non-coding RNA is filed under the name Equus asinus (donkey). RNAcentral's name for it is "lncRNA (ENSEASG00005037915.1)". The record is from RNAcentral. Lineage: Eukaryota; Metazoa; Chordata; Mammalia; Perissodactyla; Equidae.